Molecule: ribosomal RNA, 466 nt
Filed under: uncultured Klebsiella sp.
Lineage: Bacteria; Pseudomonadati; Pseudomonadota; Gammaproteobacteria; Enterobacterales; Enterobacteriaceae
Description: bacterial SSU rRNA
Rfam family: Bacterial small subunit ribosomal RNA
Source: RNAcentral
CCUACGGGCGGCAGCAGUGGGGAAUAUUGCACAAUGGGCGCAAGCCUGAUGCAGCCAUGCCGCGUGUGUGAAGAAGGCCUUCGGGUUGUAAAGCACUUUCAGCGGGGAGGAAGGCGGUGAGGUUAAUAACCUCAUCGAUUGACGUUACCCGCAGAAGAAGCACCGGCUAACUCCGUGCCAGCAGCCGCGGUAAUACGGAGGGUGCAAGCGUUAAUCGGAAUUACUGGGCGUAAAGCGCACGCAGGCGGUCUGUCAAGUCGGAUGUGAAAUCCCCGGGCUCAACCUGGGAACUGCAUUCGAAACUGGCAGGCUAGAGUCUUGUAGAGGGGGGUAGAAUUCCAGGGGUAGCGGUGAAAUGCGUAGAGAUCUGGAGGAAUACCGGUGGCGAAGGCGGCCCCCUGGACAAAGACUGACGCUCAGGUGCGAAAGCGUGGGGAGCAAACAGGAUUAGAUACCCCUGGUAGUC